Molecule: ribosomal RNA, 372 nt
Filed under: uncultured organism
Description: partial 16S ribosomal RNA
Rfam family: Bacterial small subunit ribosomal RNA
Source: RNAcentral
GUAGGUGGCAAGCGUUGUCCGGAAUUAUUGGGCGUAAAGCGCGCGCAGGGCGGUCCUUUAAGCCUGAUGUGAAAGCCCACGGCUCAACCGUGGAGGGUCAUUGGAAACUGGGGGACUUGAGUACAGAAGAGGAAAGCGGAAUUCCAAGUGUAGCGGUGAAAUGCGUAGAGAUUUGGAGGAACACCAGUGGCGAAGGCGGCUUUCUGGUCUGUAACUGACGCUGAGGCGCGAAAGCGUGGGGAGCAAACAGGAUUAGAUACCCUGGUAGUCCACGCCGUAAACGAUGAGUGCUAAGUGUUAGGGGGUUUCCGCCCCUUAGUGCUGCAGCUAACGCAUUAAGCACUCCGCCUGGGGAGUACGGCCGCAAGGCUG